GAUGAAGAACGUAGCGAAAUGCGAUAAGUAAUGUGAAUUGCAGAAUUCAGUGAAUCAUCGAAUCUUUGAACGCACAUUGCGCCCGCCAGUAUUCUGGCGGGCAUGCCUGUUCGAGCGUCAUUUCAACCAUCAAGCCCCCGGCUUGUGUUGGGGACCUGCGGCUGCCGCAGGCCCUGAAAACCAGUGGCGGGCUCGCUAGUCACUCCGAGCGUAGUAAUACAUCUCGCUCAGGGCGUGCUGCGGGUUCCGGCCGUUAAAAGCCUUAUUUACCCAAGGUUGACCUCGGAUCAGGUAGGAAGACCCGCUGAACUUAAGCAUAUCAAUAAGCGGAAGA
This 334-nucleotide unclassified non-coding RNA is filed under the name soil metagenome. Its description in RNAcentral is "partial contains 5.8S ribosomal RNA, internal transcribed spacer 2, and large subunit ribosomal RNA". The stretch from base 1 to 120 matches the Rfam family "5.8S ribosomal RNA", at positions 35 to 154 of the family's 154-position model. The record is from RNAcentral.